CCUUUGUACCGGUCAUUUCUUCUUCUUGAAAAGCUGGGAUAAAGUUGACAGUCUUUAUAGAUGAAAGGAGGUGACAGUCGGGGUUAAUCCAAAUAAAUACUCACUCCUCUCUCAUAAAUUUUAGGCAACCUCAUCUUAACUUAAAAAAAAAAAAAAAAGAAAGAAAGAGGGGGAAAGAAAAAAAAAAAAAACAAGUCGCCAACAAUCCCAAAGCAUCACUUUGUGCUGAGCGGCAUCCCUUUUCUCACCCUCACCAGAUUCUGCGGGAGGGGGCGGGGACGCUCCACUGAUAAUACCAGCUUUAACUACUGGAGUUUCCCUUUGAACAAAUAUUCAAUUUAACUGGAGUUAAUUUACCAUAAAAGACAUUCCCCUUGGCACGAAUGCACUCAUGUCCUUGAACACACCUCUUUGAAUGCCUGGACUCUUACAGAAGCCAUUAUUUCGGGGUCUCUUUAAAAAUCCAGUGCCCAUCUCUCUGCCUCCCUCCCUCCCUCCCUCCCUCCCUCCCUCCCUCCUCACUACACCACCCCCAGCGAAAUCCUGGCACCCAGAGAGCACUCUUUUCAGCCAGAGCCCAGAACCAGCCGUUGUCCCCUGGCAAAAGAGGCCCAGUGCUGGGCCCUGGGCAAGUGUCUCCAGACAUCCCUACCUUUCUUUAUUAGUCCUCUUUCACAACAGAACCUAUUUCCUUUUGCCACUAAAACUACGUUGCAUCCAAAAGUUUCUCAUAAGCUUAAAAAAAAAAAGAAAAAUGAAAAACUGAUACCAUUAUACAGAAGAAUUCACAAAAGCUGCAGAGCGCCAGGGCAGAGAAACAGCAGCGUCAGACACAGGCCGACAGGACACACAGGACGAUGCUUCCAUGUCACGCCAGGGACAGAGUGAGGCCCUCACUGGCCUGUGUCGGAGAAGUUGCUUCUCAGCCCUCCCCCAGACCGCCCUUCCUCCCCCACCGAGCUUCUUCCCUGUAAAUGUCCCCAAGUCUCUAACUUUUCAGACUCAUUUUUGUUCUUCUGUUCUUCUCUACAAUUUGUGGACACAGAGCCUUUGGAAGAAGAUUGUGAUGGGCUAAAAGUUGUGAACCUUCUGCGGGCAAGGCCCGUACUUGGUACAGCAAAAGAAAUUCUAUAGCACCUGCUCCUGAGUCUAGGAAUCCCAAGUUAGCCAGCUCCCACUCUGUCCCAAGAGACAGACUCUCCUCCUCCACUACCAAGAAGCAGUAGAAUUUAAGAAAAGGGAUGAUCCCAUAUUGAAGGGACUUGAAAUUGUUACAUGGCAUUCCUGAGUUAAGUUCUAAAAUACAGUUCCCUUAUUCAUAAGAAAAAUUGAAAAUUGACAUAAAACAUGGACAAAACUAUUCAUAGCAUCGGUGGGACUAGGAUAUAGUUCAGUCAUGGAAUGCUUGUAUAGCAAUGAGCGUGGUCCAAGGCUCAAUCCCCGGCACUGGGAAAGAAAAGUGGGAGGGGAGGAGGUGUCCACAGCAGCGUUUCCAGUAUAGGCAGAAAGGGGAAAGAAUUCAAACGCCUACCGAUGAACGGGUGAGCGUAAAGUGGUACAUGUAUAUAAUGGAAUACUAGCAAGCAGCAGAAAGCUAUGACAUGAUAGAGAUGGCAGCAUGGGUGACUUUUUAAACAUCUUCCUAAGUAGCAGUAACAAUCAAAAGGGAAGGCAUCCACUCCAUAUUUCUGGAUUAUAUAGGCAUACUACAUAUAGAGAAAACAGAACGGUGGUUGGCUGGGACUUGGAGAGAGGGACUGGACUUUGGGAGAUAGAAGAACGGUAAAGAAUUUCUCUGGGUGGUGAUGAAAAUGUUCUUGAAUUGGUUGAAAUGAUGGUUGCACUUGAUAACUGCAUUUAAAGACCACUGAAUUUUACUUGUAAAUGGGAGAAUUGCAUGGUGCACAGAUUAUACGUCAAUAAAGCUAAUAUUUUUAAAAAGAUA
Long non-coding RNA from Mesocricetus auratus (golden hamster), 1945 nucleotides. RefSeq lists it as uncharacterized. The transcript has 2 exons. Lineage: Eukaryota; Metazoa; Chordata; Mammalia; Rodentia; Cricetidae. The record is from RefSeq and is a predicted model, not a curated record.